Wyeomyia smithii (pitcher-plant mosquito) is the source of this 3167-nucleotide RNA transcript. It is a transcript of the gene named dynein regulatory complex subunit 2-like, with no coding region annotated. The record is from RefSeq and is a predicted model, not a curated record. The transcript is spliced from 6 exons. Lineage: Eukaryota; Metazoa; Arthropoda; Insecta; Diptera; Culicidae.
UCUUGCGACGGCUCAGGUAACACCCUGAGUUGGCAUGGUCAAUCUGGUUUACCUCACUCCAGUUUUAUUCAACAAGUUUGAACAACAUCCUCCCAGUUGUGUAGAGUAGAUAGGCUACUUAAGAUAGACGUACAGACGGACGCGUGAAAUUAGCUUUGAAACUAUCCAACGGCUGCUGCGUUGACAGUGGCAAUAUCUUCGAUGGGCGUGUACGGAAAAAGUUCAUUAGCAAUCAAGUCAGUGCUACGGGAGCAACAAAAGCGCACUCAGUUGACAGCUCAAAUAACGAUCAGUGGCAAUGAAUGGUACCAAUCGGAACGGACCUGAGAAGCCAACGACGGUUGCAUUCGACUUGAAAGCGCAGCGGAAGCUUGAAAAAUUACAAGCUAAACGUGCAGCAGCCGAAGAAUUCAAAAGGAAGAACAUCCGAGAUCAUUUGAAGAGAGAACAACAUUUCUCGCAGCAGACUGAGAAACGUGUGUUUGCACAAUGGGAACAAAUGUGCUCUGGUGUGCAGUACCAGAGCGUGUGGGAGGACAUGCUUCAGAUUAAACAGUACAUGCAACCACUUUUGGACAGAAAGAAUUGCUGCAUCGAGCGGCUGCUGGAAAGCCGAGCGGAAAUGGAAGAUAUUUAUAUGAGAAAUUUGCAGCGCCUGAAGAGAUUAAUUUACUAUUAUACAGACAUUUUUACCCACUUCAAAGAAAAUCUGUCAAUGCAAUACCGAGCGGACUGCCAAAAACGUUUAGAUGAAUUUCGUCGUGAUAUUGCACUAAAAAAGAAUCACGAAAAUGAAUGUACUCAGCAAAUGGAAGGAGCUCUAAUAUCGCUGGAGGAAGUGAUGAAACAAGAUAAAAUAGAUGACCGUGUCGAUUUUAUCAAAAAGAAUGAUGAUACUCUCAAUACUCAUAUCGAAAAGCGCGAUCGCCUGCGAGAUAAAAAGUGCGAACAGUUAGAGCACCUUCAUGAGAAAUUAAAAUCUGUAGUGAAAGAAUACUUGACGGUUACAUUGCAUCCGGAGAAAGCUAAGGCUUAUUUCGAUUUGUACGGCAAAGAUGAAGCCUUUCGGCAAUUGAUUACAGACAACAGAGAUAAAAUUCAGCAAUCGUGUGAAAAGAUAAGGCAUUUGAAUAGAAAGCUCCUCGAGGUGGAAAUAGCUGGCAAUCGUAAGAUAAUAGCCAAGCGAUUUGAGAAACGUAAUCUCGAGAAUGAGCUUAACCGUCAGAAGCGGACAUUGGCUAAACUAGAUUCGGUCCAUAAGGAGCGUUUGAAGGAGCUUUCCUACGAAGUAUUCAACGUACAAAACCACCUGAAGCGAUUAUUCGAACGAGGUAAACUUAUUUUGAGUUUGGCUCGAAACUGCGCCAAACUUGAGUGCGAUGAUGAUAAACGAUAUUUUGAAAAACGCGUUGAACAAGGUCAUAUCGCUAACGGUUGCCCUACUGAGUAUGAAUUUCUAUUCGAUAAAAUCAAUCGCGUGGAAGCGAUCAACAUACUACUAGCUGCGGAAAGAGAUCAGCUGUUGCAGACCAACCGUGAGCUGCAGCAAAAAUUCAAAGACUUCUGUAAGCUGAACAAGCCGGAAGAUGAUUGCGCCAGCUUGCAGCUAGUUGGUAAAAGUGUUUCUCCACGCUAAUAAUCGAACUAUAUGAUUCGAUUGGACAUGUGUUCUUAUGUAUUUUGGUUACCAAUGCUCACAAAUUUACGUUGUAGUUUUGUAACGAUCAGUUAAUAGUUCCAUAUCGAAAUUUACAUCGAUUCUUCACUGUUACUGAGUCUUAGUAUAAUUAUUCGUGUUUGUUUUUUGUUCUGUCGCUUCAACUGACCAAGGUUGAAGUUCACCUGAACCCCAGAACCAAUAAAUCAGUGUUCCAAUUAUGUAAAUCCCGGCUGUUAUGUAAAAUACCAAGCGCCAUUCAUCUUCACCAUUGUUGGUCGUUAUGUAACCGUUUACAAUCGGACUUAUUACUCCGGCAAUCGUUGCAAAACCAUUGCUGAUUCCCAUUAAAACACCGGCACUUCUAGGGGAGAGAUCCAGUGGAUUCACCAAGUAUCCAUUCCAAGCGACUCCUCCAAAUCCUACAGCUGUCGUUAUACAGACAAUGGUAGGCGCAGGUCUUAGGAUCCAAGCACCGAUCAUCAUACAGAUCAAUUGCACCGUAAAACCUCCACAGGUAAAAUACUUCCGUACCUGUGUAGUUGUAAGAUAUCCACGAAUUUGAAGCCAAUCGGCUACAUAACCAGCGCAACUCAGAAGAAUACCCAUAAGCAGAUAAGGAAGAGCUGAAAUGAAACCGGAUGCUUGCAGGUCAAAACCGAGAACACCUUAAACAAAAACAUAUAGCGAUUAGUGUAACUUGUUGGAAUCCACAUUGGAACUGGGUACUUUUUAGGAACGUCGGUAGGCCGGUCAACAGCGUGUAGUAACCCCAAUCUUCAGUGAAGCUAGCAAUCGACAUAGAAAUAACUGCUUUCGAGCCACAUACCAAAUGCAUGCGACAACGCCGAAGAAGUAAAAGACACUUUCCCAUCCCCAGGUGCUAACGAGCAUACCACUUAUUGGAAGCACUAAAACAGUUCCCGCGAACGCACCGGUACAGGCAAUCGAAGCCAUUCGUGAUCGUUCGCUAGGUGGUGCCCAUCGAGACCAGAAAGCAUGACUGCAAGGAAACGUUACACCUUCCAAGAAACCUUCCAGAACUCGAAUCGCUAUCAGCCAGCCAACGCCCAAUUGGGCUGCCAUUGGAGUCAGUAAUGUAAGUAUCGCGGUUCCACCAAUGCCUACCCCAAAAACCUACGGAUAGGUUCAAUGUUGGAUUUAAUCACACUUAGUAGGGCCGCUUACAUUUGUACCGCCUAGUUUGUUUGACAAGUAACCUCCCAGUACUUGGGUAAAUACAUAACCGUAAAAGAAAGAACUUAGAAUGUAUCCCUGUAAGCUGGAACUCCAUUCGAAAGUUUGUUCCUAAAAAUGGUUUGUUUUGUAGCGUAAUGAUUUCGAUUUUAUCUGUACUCACCUGUACUAUGGUUCCAUUUUCAUACACGACUUCCCGAAGCUCGGUCAUAGCCACAAUGGCAACACUUAAAUUUACUCGUAAUGUGUACACAUUUGCAAACCCCAAAAAUGCCAUAAACACCACUACAUAGCGUCGACGUUUCCAAAACAU